Papaver somniferum (opium poppy) is the source of this 2519-nucleotide long non-coding RNA. RefSeq lists it as uncharacterized. The transcript is spliced from 11 exons. Lineage: Eukaryota; Viridiplantae; Streptophyta; Magnoliopsida; Ranunculales; Papaveraceae. The record is from RefSeq and is a predicted model, not a curated record.
UUCAACAGUCUUCCAAGAGAUUUGAUUAGUUUCUUGACUCUCUAUUCUCUGAGGACUCUAACCCUACGAUAUGUUUUUUGUUUUCUUUUUUGUUGAUUCGUUUUGUAACUUUUGUUUGAUUUCUCCAUCAUCACAGGAAUUGCUAAAGGAAUUGAUUUUCACGAUUUUAUUGAUCAAUUUGGAGAAGCAUUGGAGCUACCAAAACAUGGGGGUUAAAGAUCCGCUGUCAUGUAUCCGGCUUCAAUGAAACCCGAAAAAGAGAUUGACUUCCUUUGUGUUUGAUGUAUAAAUUCCCAGGAUGUGGGCACAACACAGCAGCAUCAACAGCAAAGGGAGAACAUUGAAACUUCGGGCAGUAAAUUCAAAUGCUGAGAGAUUGAAACCCACAAAUCCGGAUCAGUAAACUUAAAAGUGUCCGGAGGCGAUUGAGAUAUGGGCAUAAAGAAGGAAAACACCAUUUACAGGCGUACAACUUUCUUUUUUUUUUGGUUCUGAAUUUUUGGAGCAAAAAGAUGCAGGCUUAUGCAGAACUUCUCGAGGAAGGCGAUCCAAAAAUUCCAGCAUGGUUCUUCAGUCCCAAGGAUGGUUUGAAUGUGGGAUUAAAUUCACCACUCCUCUGUUUAUUUAAGGACUGCUUAUGUUCAUUCAGAAGGUAUCACCACCCUUAAAGGUUUCUCAUUGAAGUUAGCGUUGGAAGUGGUUCACUUGAUGCUGCAUUCUGUGACAAUCUGCGAGAUCAGUCUUCACUAUUAGAAGGGUUACAUGUGUAAAAGAUUAAUCAUUUGAGUGUUGGUCAAUAACACAAAAUGAGCAGUUGCUUGCUACUGGAAGCUCAGAGGGAACCUUGGUUAGAAGUUUUAAAAUUUGUUGCAAGAGGUUCACGCGCACGAUUUGAAAGAAGAACUAAAGUGUUGCUAUCAACAAGUUCAGGUUCAAAAACUCUUUGACUAGGAUAGUCCUCUCAGCGUCAAGAUCACAGUCGUUGUUGCUGUAGGAGAAACCUGACAUCUAAGCUUUUUGGCAAAGUUCUUAGUUUCAGACCUUAUCCAGAUAUAUCUAAGAUUAACUUGCUUAUCAUAGAAUCCGAGAAUCUCGAAGUCCACUGUUUCGUCUUUUCUUUCAUUUGAAACCUGCAAAAGCAAUUGUAGAUGCGAUUCAGGAAUCUCUAAGUUCAUCGUUGCUUUCAGUUGGAACCUGCAAAAGCAAUUGAGAAUGAGAACUAUGCUUUAGCAGCUGGAAUUCAAGAUCAAAAUUCGGAGUUAGAGAGUGGUGGAGCGAGAUGACGUUACUAGGUUACCGGAGAACAGCUUGCAGCGCUCUUCGUAGAUAGUCCAUAUCUGGUGAAUGAUCUUUGUAGGAACCUCUUUGAUGUCAUAUGAAGCUUUUUCAACAAGUUUUGUCAUAGUUUCGAGGGCUUGGGACCAAUAAUAUACAAUAGUAAAACAGUUCGAUAAUCUAAUUACUUUGUUCACUUUGGAGCCACCGGGUAGAACAUCUUUAAGGAUGCAGACAAGUUCCUUUGGAAAUGCAAAGGACUCUGGGAAACCCUAUCAGAGGCACGUGGAAUAGGCCUUUGACGGGCUUGGAAUUUUACUUCUUUUGACCUCCAAUCAGCAACUAUUCAGGUAUCCUUCUAUACAUCAUAUAAGAAACUUUUACCUGUAAAGAUCAUGUGCAAAGGGGAACCAUAUGUACCCUAUGCCAGGUGGAUGUUCAUGUCUCUAUAAGUGUGGUUGUUAAUAAGUGGAAGGAUGAGAACGAUAAAUUCAUGACUUCUAGGCAGUGGCUUGAUUUCUGCAGGGUAGAGAAUUCCACAAGUGAAGGAUAUCCUGGGACUUGGGAGCAUAACCGGUCAAGAUUUUUUCCAUUCCUCCAUUUUUUUUAUAGAGUCAAGACUCGGUUCUCUAAUUGAGCUGGAAAGGAAUCAAGCUGAGGUUAUGUUUACAAUUCCCAUCACAUAUCUCCUGCUUAUGGAUUGUUUGAUUGUGAGUGCCAGUGUUUGGUUGUUAUGUUUAUUUCAUUGUAUUAACCUAUAGCUUCAAUCUGCACUUGGCGGUAUAUAUUAUCAAGGUUUACAAGCCACUCUUAUGCCUUCAACAACUGUGGCUUUUUAUUGUUCCAGAUAAUUCACAUCAAUAGUUGAGAAGCCAGUGGCAUCAGGAAGUUAUGCUGAAGCUAUGUCGUAAUAUGGUAUUUUUUAGAAAAAUUUGCUGAACUCACAACGAAUUAAUACAUUGUGCCGAGGAAACCAUCCUCAACACUCAACUACAUGAUAUCGGGUCGCAGGUAACACAAAGUUAAAUUUACAUUUGGAAUUUGGUGUAUUAAAUUUCCACUCGCUUUAGCAAUUCCUUUCUUUUUCUUUGAGAGGGACAUGUACAUUCAGCUUCGGAAGUAGCAAUUGCUUGGUCCUACAAGAGGUUGGGAACACUUUGUAGAUUUGGUGUGGAUGCAAAUGGUAGAAAUUUUGGACUAAGAUCCGAAUAAUGUCUUGCUCUAUAAAUAUGCUAUUGUUAAAA